RNAcentral lists this ribosomal RNA (1335 nucleotides) under Escherichia coli. RNAcentral's name for it is "partial 23S ribosomal RNA". It matches the Rfam family "Bacterial large subunit ribosomal RNA", at positions 419 to 1756 of the family's 2925-position model. The record is from RNAcentral. Lineage: Bacteria; Pseudomonadati; Pseudomonadota; Gammaproteobacteria; Enterobacterales; Enterobacteriaceae.
GGGACACGUGGUAUCCUGUCUGAAUAUGGGGGGACCAUCCUCCAAGGCUAAAUACUCCUGACUGACCGAUAGUGAACCAGUACCGUGAGGGAAAGGCGAAAAGAACCCCGGCGAGGGGAGUGAAAAAGAACCUGAAACCGUGUACGUACAAGCAGUGGGAGCACGCUUAGGCGUGUGACUGCGUACCUUUUGUAUAAUGGGUCAGCGACUUAUAUUCUGUAGCAAGGUUAACCGAAUAGGGGAGCCGAAGGGAAACCGAGUCUUAACUGGGCGUUAAGUUGCAGGGUAUAGACCCGAAACCCGGUGAUCUAGCCAUGGGCAGGUUGAAGGUUGGGUAACACUAACUGGAGGACCGAACCGACUAAUGUUGAAAAAUUAGCGGAUGACUUGUGGCUGGGGGUGAAAGGCCAAUCAAACCGGGAGAUAGCUGGUUCUCCCCGAAAGCUAUUUAGGUAGCGCCUCGUGAAUUCAUCUCCGGGGGUAGAGCACUGUUUCGGCAAGGGGGUCAUCCCGACUUACCAACCCGAUGCAAACUACGAAUACCGGAGAAUGUUAUCACGGGAGACACACGGCGGGUGCUAACGUCCGUCGUGAAGAGGGAAACAACCCAGACCGCCAGCUAAGGUCCCAAAGUCAUGGUUAAGUGGGAAACGAUGUGGGAAGGCCCAGACAGCCAGGAUGUUGGCUUAGAAGCAGCCAUCAUUUAAAGAAAGCGUAAUAGCUCACUGGUCGAGUCGGCCUGCGCGGAAGAUGUAACGGGGCUAAACCAUGCACCGAAGCUGCGGCAGCGACGCUGAUGCGUUGUUGGGUAGGGGAGCGUUCUGUAAGCCUGCGAAGGUGUGCUGUGAGGCAUGCUGGAGGUAUCAGAAGUGCGAAUGCUGACAUAAGUAACGAUAAAGCGGGUGAAAAGCCCGCUCGCCGGAAGACCAAGGGUUCCUGUCCAACGUUAAUCGGGGCAGGGUGAGUCGACCCCUAAGGCGAGGCCGAAAGGCGUAGUCGAUGGGAAACAGGUUAAUAUUCCUGUACUUGGUGUUACUGCGAAGGGGGGACGGAGAAGGCUAUGUUGGCCGGGCGACGGUUGUCCCGGUUUAAGCGUGUAGGCUGGUUUUCCAGGCAAAUCCGGAAAAUCAAGGCUGAGGCGUGAUGACGAGGCACUACGGUGCUGAAGCAACAAAUGCCCUGCUUCCAGGAAAAGCCUCUAAGCAUCAGGUAACAUCAAAUCGUACCCCAAACCGACACAGGUGGUCAGGUAGAGAAUACCAAGGCGCUUGAGAGAACUCGGGUGAAGGAACUAGGCAAAAUGGUGCCGUAACUUCGGGAGAAGGCACGCUGAUA